UUCUAUAUGAUUUACGACGGCAAGGUGUUGGGGCCAGACAGUACAAAUCAAAAGCUAAGCAACUGACCCAGAUUAGCGGUAAACCAGUGGUGUCUUGUGGUGAAUGAGUAAAGUUCGUUACAAAUUACUUGAACCUAUUCAAGUAAUUUUCACGGCCAUCAACGGUAAUUGACAUCUUCUAGAGGCUCGAUUUCACGGCCAUCAACGUACUGAAGCACCAAAUCAUGGUGCUAUACCAGGAUUCAGAAACAACACAGCACAAACUGCAAACUUGUCAUUAUUUACGAUACAAGCAAGAUAGAGCUUUUCUUGCGUAAGAGGACCCCAAAGCAGAAUUGGGU
Molecule: long non-coding RNA, 341 nt
Organism: Daucus carota subsp. sativus
Lineage: Eukaryota; Viridiplantae; Streptophyta; Magnoliopsida; Apiales; Apiaceae
Exons: 3
Source: RefSeq, a predicted model, not a curated record